AGUCAUAUGCUUGUCUCAGAGAUUUAGCCAUGCAUGUCCAAGUACAAACCUUAAAACGGUGAAACCGCGAAUGGCUCAUUAAAUCAGCUAUGGUUCCUUAGACCAUACACACUACAUGGAUAACUGUAGUAAUUCUAGAGCUAAUACAUGCCACGAUGCCCUGACCCUUCGGGGGAUGGGUGCAUUUAUUAGAACAGAACCAACCGGGUGCAUUCCUCUGGUUUGCGCCUGUCACAUUCUGUGAUGACUCUGGAUAACUUUGCUGAUCGCAGUCGGCCUUGUGUCGGCGACGAGUCUUUCAAAUGUCUGCCCUAUCAAUUGUCGAUGGUAGGUGACCUGCCUACCAUGGUGAUAACGGGUAACGGGGAAUCAGGGUUCGAUUCCGGAGAAAGAGCCUGAGAAACGGCUACUAUUUCCAAGGAAGGCAGCAGGCGCGCAACUUACCCAAUCCCGGCACGGGGAGGUAGUGACGAAAAAUACGGAUGCGGGACUCAACAGAGGCUCCGUAAUUCGAAUGAGUACAAUUCAAAUCCUUUAACGAGGAUCAACUGGAGGGCAAGUCUGGUGCCAGCAGCCGCGGUAACUCCAGCUCCAGAAGCGUAUAUUAAAUUUGUUGCAGUUAAAAAGCUCGUAGUUGGAUCUGGGAAGCACGGUUACGAGUCGUUUCUUACAUUUCUAACCUAGCCACGGUUGGGCCGGUUAUGUAAGGCGAUUUUGUAGCUGUGUAGCCUUUCUGCCGUGUCUGUUUACGGGUGCUGACGGUCAAUACGUUGGCAUGCUUCCAGAUGCUCUUAACCGGGUGUCUGGGGCGGACGGCAAGUUUACUUUGAACAAAUUUGAGUGCUCAAAGCAGGCCUAUGCCUGACAAUUCUUGCAUGGAAUAAUGGAAUAGGACUUCGGUUCUAUUUUGUUGGUUUUCGGAUCCGAAGUAAUGGUUAAGAGGGACAGACGGGGGCAUUUGUAUGGCGGUGUUAGAGGUGAAAUUCUAUGAUCAUCGCCAGACAAACUAAAGCGAAAGCAUUUGCCAAGGAUGUUUUCAUUAAUCUGGAGCGAAAGUCAGAGGUUCAAAGACGAUCAGAUACCGUCGUAGUUCUGACCAUAAACGAUACCAACUGACGAUCCGUGGGUGCUCGUUCAUUGACCCCAUGGGCAGUCCCCGGGAAACCUUGAAGUCUUUGGGUUCCGGGGGAAGUAUGGUUGCAAAGCUGAAACUUAAAGGAAUUGACGGAAGGGCACCACCAGGAGUGGAGCGUGCGGUUCAAUUCGACUCAACACGGGAAAUCUCACCCGGCCCGGACACUGUGAGGAUUGACAGAUUGAGAGCUCUUUCUUGAUUCGGUGGUUGGUGGUGCAUGGCCGUUCUUAGUUGGUGGAGCGAUUUGUCUGGUUAAUUCCGAUAACGAACGAGACUUUGGCCUGCUAAAUAGUAUGCCUGUCCUCUGCUCUUGUGCGGGUGGCGGUAGUGGUAGCCUUUCGGGGUGAUACUGCCGUACGCCGGCGAGGGCUGCGCGGGUCUAUACUUCUUAGAGGGACAAGCGGUUUUUAGCCGCACGAAAUUGAGCAAUAACAGGUCUGUGAUGCCCUUAGAUGUCCGGGGCCACACGUGCGCUACAAUGACGGUUUCAACGAGUAUGGCGACCUUACUCGAAAGAGCUGGGUAAACUGAAACAUAACCGUCGUAACUGGGAUCGGGGCUUGCAAUUAUUCCCCGUGAACGAGGAAUCCCUGGUAAGUGCAAGUCAUUACCUUGCGCUGAUUACGUCCCUGCCCUUUGUACACACCGCCCGUCGCUACUACCGAUUGAGUGGUUUAGUGAGGACUUUGGAUCGGUUCCAGUGCAGUUGCUUCGGCAGCUCAACCGGAACUGAAAAGAUGUCCGAACUUGAUCAUUUAGAGGAAGUAAAAGUCGUAACAAGGUUUCC
RNAcentral lists this ribosomal RNA (1922 nucleotides) under Lecithodendriidae sp. PAFlukeA. RNAcentral's name for it is "SSU rRNA". It matches the Rfam family "Eukaryotic small subunit ribosomal RNA". The record is from RNAcentral. Lineage: Eukaryota; Metazoa; Platyhelminthes; Trematoda; Plagiorchiida; Lecithodendriidae.